UUUGUUCAAUUUAAUUAAUUAAAAUGAGCACAUACAACACAACUCUUGGUAAAAAUGGUCCCAACUUAAUUUUAUUUAACAUAAACAAUGUAAUUUUCAAAAAAUUAGGUUUACAAGAUUUUUUUAAAUUGAGUCAACAAGAAUAUUUUUCGUUCGUCUUAACCGGAUGUACGUCAUCAGCUGAAACGGAUGCAGAUGGAUUGUUCAGCUGCAUACAUGUGAGAUGGGUAAGUGGCCAUUUCAAUCUAUCACCAUCCAUCUUAUUUAAUUAACAAAUUAAUUAAAAUAUGCUUUUUUAACAUCUUGUUGCGUACCAGAAAGUAAUUUUUCUAUAAGCAUGGUAUGAAAAUAGCUCUUAAGUGUGUCGUUUGUAGCUGAUGUUAGGUUUCUGGACUCAGCAUGCAGUCUUAUAUUUAAAUCAUUCUCUUUUUUUUUUUUUUUUUCUUCUGAAAGUAUCAAAUAAAGUUAGCAUGAAGAAUCGCAGAACAGAGAGAACAUAAAUAUAUAUUCAGUACCAUAAAUUAAUGUAUAAAACCAGUGCCAUAAGACACCCCCGAUCAUUAGAAAUGGCCAAACUGUCCCACAGGAUUUUAAAUUCUUACUCUGCAUUCAGCUGUUGUUAGGGUGACAAAAACGUUUCAAAUGUAUAUUUUAGUUCUUCAUCAACUGCAUAUAGUUUAUCGCUAGUAAAAACGAUUUGAGAUGCCAAUCAAAGCGCGCAGUAGCCAAUCCAAGGCUUUAAAUUAGUCACGCUUGUUGAGGUCACGUGUUCGUGACUGAAUUCACCGCAUUCACAAAGUCUCUCGUCUUAAUCAACAAAUAGAGUUUUAGCGACGUAAGUACGAGAUAAAUUUCGCUGCUUUAGUAAUUGUAAGUGGAGUUUUGCAUAUCUUUUGCUAAAUUAUGGUCAUUGACCGACUUAUGUCUGUGUAGGCAGCUAAUAACAUCAUGUUUCUCCAAGCGCUUGUACAUUACGUGUAAAUUAAUGUUAUUCUGUUACUUGACAUUAAUAUAUCAAGAGGAAUAAUCGACAAUAAUGAUUUGUCAUAAAUAAUUUGGCAGCCUGACCCUGUACUAAAUACUUUUUUUUUCUUUGUAGCAUUUUAAACUUUUUUUCUUUUCUUUGCUGAAUUGCCCAUAAACAAGACCUCUGUAAUUUAUGUCUUCAGAUUAAUGCUGAAUUUCGUCGGAUCACAACCCUUACUUUACAGUCCAAAUUCCUGUCCCAACUGUAUCAGUUUUCUGAAGAUCAGCUGACAGUGUUUACCAUAAAGGGUGGAGUGUAUAGAAAAAGCAUUCGGGAUGUGAUGGUGCCAAUGUCUCAGAAUGGAGACCAAGCAAGAGUGCAUUCUCAAGGGACUAUGCAUCCACCUGAAUGAAGAUCCACAGGAUCUGGUGAAGGGAGUAUUUGGAUGAUGACCCUGCAAGAAACAAAGCGGACAUCAAGAAGACCUUUUUUGGGGAUCUGUGAUGUAAAGCAUGAAUUUCCUGCUGCAACAGAAGACCCUGAAGAUAUCGGCAUUGUACUGGAAGAUGUGGAGGUGCUCUCUGGUUUAGGUAAUGUAGCAUUGGCUACAGCCCUGCUAUUUGGACUAAUAUACUCUUUAAAUCUUACUCAUCCACAGGAGUUCCAUUACACUUUUAAGAUGCUCCAAAAAAUGAUUCUUGAACUGGACUUGUGUAAAUUGUCUGCCAAAGCACGGGCACUGAAAAAAAAACUCCUCCGUUAGGUGUGCUGUGUUUGAGGAUCACUUUGUGGACACUGUGUUUUAUUUUCUUGUAAGCUCGUGUUAUUGUUGUACUGCAUUUUUGCAUGGUGAGCAGAGGUGAUUAAGUCUCUCAACCUCAUUUAAUUGGCUCACUCAUUUAAUCUCAUGUUAAAAAAAUAAAAUAAAAUGCUGUUAUUCUCUUGUA
Long non-coding RNA from Carassius gibelio (silver crucian carp), 1914 nucleotides. RefSeq lists it as uncharacterized. The transcript has 3 exons. The record is from RefSeq and is a predicted model, not a curated record. Lineage: Eukaryota; Metazoa; Chordata; Actinopteri; Cypriniformes; Cyprinidae.